This 1416-nucleotide ribosomal RNA is filed under the name uncultured prokaryote. RNAcentral's name for it is "partial 16S ribosomal RNA". It matches the Rfam family "Bacterial small subunit ribosomal RNA". The record is from RNAcentral.
GGAUGAACGCUGGCGGUAUGCCUAACAAUGCAAGUCGAACGGAAUCCUUUAGGCGGCUUAGUGGCGGACGGGUGAGUAACGCGUGAGAAUCUGCCUUCAGGACGGGGACAACAGUUGGAAACGAUUGCUAAUACCCGAUAUGCCGAGAGGUGAAAUGUUUUUUCGCCUGAAGAUGAGCUCGCGUCUGAUUAGCUAGGUGGUGGGGUAAGAGCCUACCAAGGCGACGAUCAGUAGCUGGUCUGAGAGGAUGAGCAGCCACACUGGGACUGAGACACGGCCCAGACUCCUACGGGAGGCAGCAGUGGGGAAUUUUCCGCAAUGGGCGAAAGCCUGACGGAGCAAUACCGCGUGAGGGAGGAAGGUCUUUGGAUUGUAAACCUCUUUUAUUAGGGAAGAAGCUCUGACGGUACCUAAUGAAUAAGCAUCGGCUAACUCCGUGCCAGCAGCCGCGGUAAUACGUAGGGAGCGAGCGUUAUCCGGAAUUAUUGGGCGUAAAGAGUCCGUAGGUGGUUUUACAAGUCUGCCGUUAAAGAAUGGAGCUUAACUCCAUAGGGGCGGUGGAAACUGUGAGACUAGAGUACAGUAGGGGUAGCAGGAAUUCCCAGUGUAGCGGUGAAAUGCGUAGAUAUUGGGAAGAACAUCGGUGGCGAAGGCGUGCUACUGGGGCUGAAACUGACACUGAGGGACGAAAGCUAGGGGAGCGAAAGGGAUUAGAUACCCCUGUAGUCCUAGCCGUAAACGAUGGAUACUAGGCGAGGCUUGUAUCGACCCGAGCCGUGCCGAAGCUAACGCGUUAAGUAUCCCGCCUGGGGAGUACGCACGCAAGUGUGAAACUCAAAGGAAUUGACGGGGGCCCGCACAAGCGGUGGAGUAUGUGGUUUAAUUCGAUGCAACGCGAAGAACCUUACCAAGGCUUGACAUCCCUGGAAUCUCCGUGAAAGCGAGGAGUGCCUUAGGGAGCCAGGAGACAGGUGGUGCAUGGCUGUCGUCAGCUCGUGUCGUGAGAUGUUGGGUUAAGUCCCGCAACGAGCGCAACCCUCGUUUUUAGUUGCCAGCAUUAAGUUGGGCACUCUAGAGAGACUGCCGGUGACAAACCGGAGGAAGGUGGGGAUGACGUCAAGUCAUCAUGCCCCUUACGCCUUGGGCUACACACGUACUACAAUGGUCAGGACAACGGGCAGCCAAUCCGCGAGGACGAGCGAAUCCCAACAAACCUGGCCUCAGUUCAGAUUGCAGGCUGCAACUCGCCUGCAUGAAGGAGGAAUCGCUAGUAAUCGCAGGUCAGAAUACUGCGGUGAAUUCGUUCCCGGGCCUUGUACACACCGCCCGUCACACCAUGGAAGCUGGUCACGCCCGAAGUCGUUACUCUAACCUUUCGAGGAGGAGGGCGCCGAAGGCAGGGCUAGUGACUGGGGU